RNAcentral lists this ribosomal RNA (684 nucleotides) under uncultured Symbiodinium. RNAcentral describes it as "partial Bacterial small subunit ribosomal RNA". It matches the Rfam family "Bacterial small subunit ribosomal RNA", at positions 1 to 705 of the family's 1533-position model. Lineage: Eukaryota; Dinophyceae; Suessiales; Symbiodiniaceae. The record is from RNAcentral.
AUGGAGAGUUUGAUCCUGGCUCAGGAUGAACGCUAGCGGCAGGCCUAAUACAUGCAAGUCGAACGGUAACAGUUCUUUCGAGAAGCUGACGAGUGGCGCACGGGUGCGUAACGCGUAUGCAACCUACCCUAUACAGGGGGAUAGCCCAGAGAAAUUUGGAUUAAUACCCCAUAGUACUAUUUGAUGGCAUCUGAUGAUAGUUAAAGAUUUAUUGGUAUAGGAUGGGCAUGCGUUAGAUUAGUUAGUUGGUGAGGUAACGGCUCACCAAGGCGACGAUCUAUAGGGGUUCUGAGAGGAUGAUCCCCCACACUGGCACUGAGAUACGGGCCAGACUCCUACGGGAGGCAGCAGUGGGGAAUAUUGGACAAUGGGGGCAACCCUGAUCCAGCCAUGCCGCGUGAGUGAUGAAGGCCCUAGGGUUGUAAAGCUCUUUCAGCGAGGAGGAUAAUGACGUUACUCGCAGAAGAAGCCCCGGCUAACUUCGUGCCAGCAGCCGCGGUAAUACGAAGGGGGCUAGCGUUGUUCGGAAUCACUGGGCGUAAAGCGCACGUAGGCGGAUUGGUCAGUUAGGGGUGAAAUCCCAGAGCUCAACUCUGGAACUGCCUUUAAUACUGCCAGUCUUGAGUCCGAGAGAGGUGAGUGGAACUCCGAGUGUAGAGGUGAAAUUCGUAGAUAUUGGAAAGA